UACGUAGGAGGCAAGCGUUGUCCGGAAUCAUUGGGCGUAAAGCGCGCGUAGGCGGCCCGGUAGGUCCGCUCUGAAAGUCCAGGGCUUAACCCUGGAAAGCGGGUGGAUACUGCCGGGCUAGAGGGUGGUAGAGGCGAGUGGAAUUCCCGGUGUAGCGGUGAAAUGCGCAGAUAUCGGGAGGAACACCAGUAGCGAAGGCGGCUCGCUGGGCCAUUCCUGACGCUGAGACGCGAAAGCUAGGGGAGCGAACAGG
RNAcentral lists this ribosomal RNA (253 nucleotides) under uncultured bacterium. Its description in RNAcentral is "partial 16S ribosomal RNA". It matches the Rfam family "Bacterial small subunit ribosomal RNA", at positions 524 to 776 of the family's 1533-position model. The record is from RNAcentral.